RNAcentral lists this ribosomal RNA (423 nucleotides) under uncultured bacterium. RNAcentral describes it as "bacterial SSU rRNA". It matches the Rfam family "Bacterial small subunit ribosomal RNA", at positions 207 to 622 of the family's 1533-position model. The record is from RNAcentral.
AAGACCUUGCACUUUUGGAGCGGCCGAUGUCUGAUUAGCUAGUUGGUGGGGUAAUGGCCUACCAAAGCUUCGAUCAGUAGCUGGUCUGAGAGGACGGCCAGCCACACUGGGACUGAGACACGGCCCAGACUCCUACGGGAGGCAGCAGUGGGGAAUUUUGGACAAUGGGCGCAAGCCUGAUCCAGCCAUGCCGCGUGAGUGAAGAAGGCCUUCGGGUUGUAAAGCUCUUUCAGCCGGGAAGAAAAGGUUGCGACUAAUAAUCGCAAUUCAUGACGGUACCGAAAGAAGAAGCACCGGCUAACUACGUGCCAGCAGCCGCGGUAAUACGUAGGGUGCGAGCGUUAAUCGGAAUUACUGGGCGUAAAGGGUGCGCAGGCGGUUUUGUAAGUCAGAUGUGAAAGCCCCGGGCCCAACCUGGGAACU